CUAACACAUGCAAGUCGAGCGAGAAGCUACCUAUAAUCCUUCGGGAGAUUAGACUAGUGGACAGCGGCGGACGGGUGAGUAACGCGUAAAUAACCUGCCAUACACACAAGGAUAGCCAUCGGAAACGGUGAUUAAUACUUGAUGAAGCUACACAUUCGCAUGAAUGAGUAGUUAAAGAAUUUUGGUGUAUGAUGGAUUUGCGUUUGAUUAGCUAGUUGGUAAGGUAAAGGCUUACCAAGGCAAUGAUCAAUAGCCGGCCUGAGAGGGUGAACGGCCACACUGGAACUGAGACACGGUCCAGACUCCUACGGGAGGCAGCAGUGGGGAAUAUUGCACAAUGGAGGAAACUCUGAUGCAGCAACGCCGCGUGAACGAAGAAGGCUUUCGAGUCGUAAAGUUCUGUUAUAGGGGAAGAAGAAGUGACGGUACCCUAUGAGAAAGCCACGGCUAAUUACGUGCCAGCAGCCGCGGUAAUACGUAAGUGGCAAGCGUUAUCCGGAAUUACUGGGCAUAAAGCGUACGUAGGCGGUUAAACAAGCCAAUAGUGAAAUCCACCAGCCUAACUGGUGUCAGCUAAUGGAACUGUAUAACUUGAGUAACAGGAGAGGAAAGUGGAAUUCCUAGUGUAGUAGUGAAAUGCGUAGAUAUUAGGAAGAACAUCAGUAGCGAAGGCGACUUUCUGGACUGUAACUGACGCUGAGGAACGAAAGCGUGGGGAGCGAACAGGAUUAGAUAACC
Molecule: ribosomal RNA, 738 nt
Filed under: uncultured organism
Description: bacterial SSU rRNA
Rfam family: Bacterial small subunit ribosomal RNA
Source: RNAcentral